GGGCCGCCCCCGCGGUGGGGCGCGGCGGGUUGGAGGGCGGGGGGAGGCGGCGGCGGCGGUGGCGGCAGCUCGGAGCGGUGGCGGCGCUGCGGUUGCGCCAUCUGUCAGCAGCCGCGCGGGGUGCGCAGCGCAGCGCAGUCAGCGCGGAGCGGAGGCAGCGCCCGUGGCAGCCCCGCGCCCUGCUGGGGCUGUGCCCGCCGGCGGUGCGCAGCGGAGAGCCACCGGCGAGAAGGGCGAGGAGAUGUGAGAGCCGGCCCCGCGCUGCGCCGCACAGGCUUUUUUUAGUUGCGGGCUUCCUCUGGCAUCAGUGUGAUUCAGUGAGUCCUUCAAGGGUGAGGUGACCUUGUCUUUGCUCUGGUGUGCUUUCAGCAAGUGUUAAUUUGGACUGUUGUAAGGUUAGGCUGGUUGGGAUUUUGUUGUUGUUUGUCUGUUGGUUUGGUUGUUGUUUGUUUUUUCUCUCCCAUGCAAAAGAAUGAAUUCUGCUGUAUGAAGCUGACUGUAUGACUAUCGAUGUUAAACAGGCUGGCAAAAUGUUGUUUUUGUGGUCAACUCUUAACGAUUUGCCAUGCAAGCAUGUGCCUUGCUAAAACCUGUGGUUGUCCUCUUGGAGUCCAUGUGGCACAGCAGGACAGAGCUGAGAAUUAUCUGGAGCUGAAUGUGGAGGGUGGAUCAGAAAAGCAUCUCUUUCUUUGUAUGUCCUUUGGGUCAGGUUGGAUGCACCUCCACAGCACUGCGCAGUGCUGAGCAGAAUUUCUCACUGGGGGGAGUUGGGAUAUCCCCAGCAGUCCAGAAGGAGAAUCAUUCUGACAUGCCUGCUCCAUAUCCAGGGCAGAGAUUUAUUGGUACUUAUGGUCAGUGUGUCUGCGCAGCACGCUCUUGGGCUAGAGAGGCUGCGCUUCACUUUUCUGAGCAUCAGAAAAGUAGAGGCGUGACCUGGAAUAGUGUACUGAUGGAUAAAUGUUAACUUUCCCAGUAUGGAAGACUAUCCAAGCUAGCUUUUCAAAAAAUUACUUCUAACUCUCUGUUCUUUUUUUUAUACGUUAUCUGCCCCAGUGCAGAAGAGCGAUUAUAUUACUAGGGAGCUCCAUCUAUAACAGCUACCCACAAGCUUUAAAAUGACAUGGUGCUGCAAUUGUAAGCAGUGGUUGUUUUCAGGGAAGGUUUCUUUUUGGGUUUUGUUGCAUUUUGUGUUGAUUGGGUGUGGGUUUUUUUGUGUGUGUGUGUUUUUGUGGGUUUGGUUUUUUCUUGCAAGAAAGUCUAGAGCAGCCAUUCCAAUCAUACUGCCGUCAGAGUGAUGUGGGAGUCCUCGUCUUAUGAAUGAGGGCUUUUCAAAGUAACCCGAUUUAGGAUGGUUGCUGUCUCAAAUUUAAUCUUAAAGCGUUGAUACAUUUCUGUGGAUUUCUUAGCAUCACUGAACGAUCGUUAACAGCUUAACCAAAAGAGAAAUAUGGCACUGAACUGACUGCUGGAAGAAAGUAUUAACAAAAGAGAAAUAUCACAGAUCUUUAGGGAAUACAGGUAAAAACAACUCUACAAGUGAAAUAAUCCCUCUAUUUGCUAAUAAGGUAGUCGCCCCAAACUGCAAUAAUACAUUUUUUUCCUUAAUUGGCUGUGUGUUGCCACUGAGUUAUAACUUCUGAGAAAAUAUCUUGAACGUGUUAGUCAAACCGCAUCAUGUAGAUUUGCUUCGUGAUUGUUGGUAUGGGAACUUGCUAACCUGUGCACACCAUGACAAGUAUGUAAGUGUGGACUCUCAUGCUCUGAAUGUACCAUCACCUGGAAUUAUUUUUUAUUGUGAUUUUUUUCUUCUUGCAGUCAUACUGUAACAAUUUCUUCUCUGUAUCUGAGCUCUCUCUACAGCUAACAGACUUCUCUUUUAAAACUACUUCUUAAUAGUCCUCCUAGCUUAUCUGAGAAGAGCUGUUCUUCCUUUUAAAAUUUAAUCACAAAAGAACUGAGGUUUGAGGGAAAUCUCUGGAAAUCAUCUCCCUUUGCAGAACAGGGCUAACCUCAAAGCUGGACCUUAUGUACAAGGUGGGGCCUCACACAGUUGGGUUUUGGGUGCUUCCGAGGACAGGGAUCGCACAGCCUCUGGCCAAUGUGUUCAAGCACGUGAUCCCUCACGAUGAAUGUCAUUUUCCUUACUAUCCAGCACCAGUUGCUCUCACUGCCGUUUGAUUCUGCUGUGCUUAUCAUUUCACUUGUGCUUCCAAGAAGAAUCCAGCCACUUCUCCUCCUCCACCCAUCAGCUGUCUGCAGGGAGGUGCUCCCCACCCCACAGCCUUUUUUUUUUUUCAAACUGCACCUACUCAACUCUCUCCAUCCCUUCUUGUACAUCAAGUGAUGCAGGAUCCUGGUGGCUAUCCACUGGACUUGCUACAGUAUGUCAUCCUUUCUCUUCCCAGCAUACUGAAACCAGAUUGGGCACUCCAGAUGAGAUCUCACAACUGCUACAACUGUAUACAGGGGAAUAACUACUGCUUCCACCUGCUGGUGAACUACAUGGCUUAUUCUGAGCUAAAUUUUCAGCUGCUGUCACCUCUCCCUUGCAGGGGAGCCAUAUCACUAGUGCUUGUAGGCUUCUUGUCACCUCAGAGGGAGCUGGAACCAAGACAGGGCUUUGCUCAAGUGAAAUGAAGCAGAUAACCCAACCAGUGUUUACAUACUCAGGACUGUAAUGUUUUCCAUUUCCCUGUUGUGAGGUUUUGCACCAGACUUUCACGCUGCAUGCAACAGUAUAACCUGAAGCAAUGAGAUGGUAUCACAGCAAUUGUUUUAGUAAAGCAGCAAGGAAAAUGCACUGUAAACAAUAUGUGCAAACUGACACAUUGUGUGUAUUUAUGGUUUUUUUCCUGACAGCACCUUGCCUAUCAGCCAAGGUACCUGCUUUAAUGUUCAGUAACAAAUAUGAGUCCUAGAAGAGCAGAUGUGCCACUUGAACAAGCCUCAUGAGAGCUGGGGCCCAAUCACACCUGCUUAAGAUUGUGGUACACCCAGAGGGGCUUUCUUCCCACUGGGCUCUUGGGACUUGAGCAUUGCUUGUCGCAUUGUUACUGGUGACUGAAGAACCUGUCACUACCUGUCUGCUUUUUGAAGGUUACAUCUUCUUAAUGUACUUAAAUGUGCAUUUACUCAGAGGAAAAAAAUAAAAUAAAACAACGUAGAGCAGUAGGAACACCAGUGAAACCCACUACCAAACUCAUGUGCAUGGGAUUUGUCCUACAGCUGCUGUUGCUUCAAGGUGUGUGUGGCUCACAUCACUUAGCUCAGUUUUCUUCAUACCGCAGUGUACAAUAGCAGCUGAAGGCAUGAACUUUCCUGAAAGCUGUAGCGACUUCAGUUUACGGCCUGCUGAUGGAGGAGUGGAGGACCAAUGCAUGGCUGGGUAGUGAGAGAAGGAUGGGCUGGGUGCUUACUGUGCCUUGUGGAGCUGCCCAGCAUCCUGGGGCAACUGGAAAAGAAGCCUUAGAAACCCAGCAAGUGCAAAAAGACUCAGCAGUAGUGAAGUGUGAGCUGGGAAGGUGGACAAGGGAGGGAAAUCCUCAGACUUAUUUUUGUUUUUCUUUAAUAUUUUUCUCUAUCAUGGAACUUAUUUCAAGGUCUCCCUUUCUAUUGGUGUUGCCAUUACUGUGAUUUUCCUUUGGGUAUUCUUGCUAGCUCCAUAGCACUGACUGUGGCAGUUGAGUCCCCCACAUAAGACAUGAAUUUGUUAGAGCAAGUCCAGAGGAGGGCCACAGAGGUGAUCAGAGGGUUGGAGCACCUGUCCUAUGAAGACAGGCUGUGGCAUCUGGGCUUUUUCAUUCUCGAGAAGAGAAGGCUCUGGGAAGCCCUUACAGUGGCCUUCCAGUACCUAAAGCGGCCUACAGAGAAGAUAAAGAAGGGCUAUUUACAAAGGGGUGUGUAGUGAUAGGACAAGGGAGAAGGGUAGUAAACUAAAAGAGGGGAAAUUUAUGUUAGAGAUUAGGUAGAAUUCUUUACGAGUGGUGAGGUGCUGGCACAGCUGCCCAGAGAAGCUGUAGGUGCCACAUCCCUGCAGGUGUUCAAAGCCAGGUUGGAUGGAGUCCUGGGCAGCUGAGCCGGGGGAUGGCAGCCCUGCCCACAGCAGGGGAUUGGGGCUGUUUGGGCUCUGAGGCCCCUUCCUACCCAAACCGUUCUGUGAUUCUAUUUCAAAGGUCUUUAUGCUCUUUACUUUCUUACAGCAAUCUGUUCCCGUGCCUGUUUACCUCAGUCUUCCCCAUCACUCACCUUCCUUUCCUCACCCUCAGAUCGCCUGGUCUCCCACACCAGCCAGCUGUUUAUCCUUGAGCUAAUGGUUGCUCAGAAUGCUCUGAUCUUAAUGCCACAAAACUGCUUAUACUCACAGCAAUUAAGAAAUAAAAAGGCAGAUUAUUUUUGCCCCGCCCCAGAGAAUUAGUUAUAUGUUUUCAAUCUGUACAGUUGUCACUGUAGGUUACAUUGAAUAGAACUCAGAGGUGAUUAAGAAGCCCUUUUUGGUACAGAAAUGAACUCUAUGUGCAAUUGCUCGUUCAGGUUAACUGGACAUCCUUGUGCAGCAGAGUAACAGUGUGAGAUAGCCAUACGUCAAACUGAGGCUCGCUACCAAACUGGUCCCUCUGAUGUGGUGAAAUGUAGAGUUUUGCCUGCUGGCUUUAAUAACAGGUUCCUCCUGGACCCCUCAGAAACAUGGAUGCUCUGCAGAGCCUGUGAGCAGUAGUGGAGGAUGGCUUUGUGACCUUGGUGGCUGCUCAGGUGGGGCUUGCUGUCUCAGGAAGGUGUCUGCUCCUGAAAAGCCAGUUGUGUUUAUUUGCUUGCUUUCAGUUAGAAAUUAGGGCAGCUUUGUGCUAUAUGUAAAGCUCCCGUGGGGGAGAUGCUGAGAGUUUAAGGAAUUUCAGAUUUUUGUUCCAAUUUUGACUUAAUUCACAUGAAAAGCUCAGGAGCUUUCUGGUGCUCGGUGGCAGCUUGAGUAAAAUAGUUUCAGUGGGAAGAUGAGGGGGAUGUAUAUCAGCUUGUAGCUAAUAUUUGUUUAAACGGGUUAUGCAAAAUAAUUUUGGAUAUUGUUAGCAAACUGGAGAAGUCACAAGAUGUCCUUCUUUGAUGAGUAUAAACUAUACCAUUCUGCUAGAAACUCUCAGAGACAGGGAAACAGCACCAAGCACGGGAGGUUAAUACCUCCUCUAGAUAAUGCCAGCACCUUCAGUCUCCCACAUCUUGUCCCCAAACACUCAUUUUGGUCGAUGGCAGGCCUGGAACCUAGUGCUACCAACCCCAAGUGUUUGAAUAUUUCAGUGGCUUUGGAGAGGAGGGAGGACAGGCUGGAGCUGGGUACUUCCCAAGGUUGUAGCUGGGAAUGCUGCAGGGAACAUGGCUCAGGGGCAGCUGACGGGUGGGGGGAGCUGCCAUUGAGGAUCUCAAACACCGCUGUCUUUUCCUGUGGAGUAAAUGUGUUCGUACUUGUGUUAACACCUUGCAAUUAAGUCUGAGAUAUUCAAAUCGCGUUGGAGCUAGGUUCACCCAGUGUGACUCAGGUAUUGUUCAUAUAUGCCUGAUAUAUGCAUUUUCACCG
RNAcentral lists this long non-coding RNA (5563 nucleotides) under Gallus gallus (chicken). The record is from RNAcentral. Lineage: Eukaryota; Metazoa; Chordata; Aves; Galliformes; Phasianidae.